Molecule: ribosomal RNA, 253 nt
Filed under: uncultured bacterium
Lineage: Bacteria
Description: partial 16S ribosomal RNA
Rfam family: Bacterial small subunit ribosomal RNA
Source: RNAcentral
UACGAAGGGGGCUAGCGUUGCUCGGAAUUACUGGGCGUAAGGCGCACGUAGGCGGACUCUUAAGUCGGUGGUGAAAUCCUGGAGCUCAACUCCAGAACUGCCUUCGAUACUGGGAGUCUUGAGUUCGGGAGAGGUGAGUGGAACUGCGAGUGUAGAGGUGAAAUUCGUAGAUAUUCGCAAGAACACCAGUGGCGAAGGCGGCCCACUGGCCUGAUACUGACGCUGAGGUGGGAAAGCGUGGGGAGCAAACAGG